Molecule: ribosomal RNA, 532 nt
Filed under: uncultured bacterium
Lineage: Bacteria
Description: bacterial SSU rRNA
Rfam family: Bacterial small subunit ribosomal RNA
Source: RNAcentral
AAUAGAUACCCCGGGUAGUCCACGCCGUAAACGAUGAAUGUUAGCCGUCGGGCAGUUUACUGUUCGGUGGCGCAGCUAACGCAUUAAACAUUCCGCCUGGGGAGUACGGUCGCAAGAUUAAAACUCAAAGGAAUUGACGGGGGGCCCGCACAGGCGGUGGAGCAUGUGGUUUAAUUCGAAGCAACGCGCAGAACCUUACCAGCCCUUGACAUCCCGAUCGCGGAUUACGGAGACGUUUUCCUUCAGUUCGGCUGGAUCGGAGACAGGUGCUGCAUGGCUGUCGUCAGCUCGUGUCGUGAGAUGUUGGGUUAAGUCCCGCAACGAGCGCAACCCUCGCCCUUAGUUGCCAGCAUUUAGUUGGGCACUCUAAGGGGACUGCCGGUGAUAAGCCGAGAGGAAGGUGGGGAUGACGUCAAGUCCUCAUGGCCCUUACGGGGCUGGGCUACACACGUGCUACAAUGGUGGUGACAGUGGGCAGCGAGACCGCGAGGUCGAGCUAAUCUCCAAAAGCCAUCUCAGUUCGGAUUGCACU